Molecule: transfer RNA, 31 nt
Filed under: Lemur catta (Ring-tailed lemur)
Lineage: Eukaryota; Metazoa; Chordata; Mammalia; Primates; Lemuridae
Description: partial tRNA-Thr
Source: RNAcentral
AGACAUGGAGAACCCCCUCCUCCCAAGGACA